Molecule: ribosomal RNA, 497 nt
Filed under: uncultured bacterium
Lineage: Bacteria
Description: partial 16S ribosomal RNA
Rfam family: Bacterial small subunit ribosomal RNA
Source: RNAcentral
GAUGAACGCUGGCGGCGUGCCUAAUACAUGCAAGUCGAGCGAACAGACGAGGAGCUUGCUCCUCUGACGUUAGCGGCGGACGGGUGAGUAACACGUGGAUAACCUACCUAUAAGACUGGGAUAACUUCGGGAAACCGGAGCUAAUACCGGAUAAUAUAUUGAACCGCAUGGUUCAAUAGUGAAAGACGGUAUUGCUGUCACUUAUAGAUGGAUCCGCGCCGCAUUAGCUAGUUGGUAAGGUAACGGCUUACCAAGGCGACGAUGCGUAGCCGACCUGAGAGGGUGAUCGGCCACACUGGAACUGAGACACGGUCCAGACUCCUACGGGAGGCAGCAGUAGGGAAUCUUCCGCAAUGGGCGAAAGCCUGACGGAGCAACGCCGCGUGAGUGAUGAAGGUCUUCGGAUCGUAAAACUCUGUUAUUAGGGAAGAACAAAUGUGUAAGUAACUAUGCACGUCUUGACGGUACCUAAUCAGAAAGCCACGGCUAACUACGUG